Molecule: small nuclear RNA, 310 nt
Filed under: Microtus ochrogaster (prairie vole)
Lineage: Eukaryota; Metazoa; Chordata; Mammalia; Rodentia; Cricetidae
Description: 7SK RNA (ENSMOCG00000009653.1)
Rfam family: 7SK RNA
About the family: 7SK was discovered as an abundant small nuclear RNA in the mid-70s but a possible function has only recently been suggested.
Source: RNAcentral
UCAUGUGAGGGAGACCUGGCUACUACAUUUGUGACUCCAUUGGUCUCCAGAGUUGAUUCAGCUGCUCUGGCUGUUGCAAGAAUGUCUGCUUCCUCAUUACCACUCCGCAAAAGUCAUUCCUGAAGUUUUACACUCAAAGGAUGACCUCUUCCAAAUAGAGGGAAAUGGUAUCCAGUCCAGGGGAUCUGAGCGCCUUCCCUCCCCAGAUAGAACCUCCAAAUAAGCUCUCAAAAUCCAAAAAGCUAUAAAAUCUGAAACACCUGGUUCAAACCAUUCAGGUAAAAGAUAUUGUGACAUUUUGUUUGUAAUC